CGAUGAUGCAUAGCCCGAGUUGAGAGACUGAUCGGGCCACAUUGGGACUGAGACACGGGCCCAAACUCCUACGGGAGGCAGCAGUAGGGGGAAUCUUCCACAAUGGACGCAAAGUCUGAUGGAGCAAAACGCCGCGUGAGUGAAGAAGGGUUUCGGCUCGUAAAAGCUCUGUUGUUGGUGAAGAAGGACAGGGGUAGUAACUGACCCUUUGUUUGACGGUAAUCAAUUUAGAAAGUCACGGGCUAACUACGUGCCCAGCAGCCGCGGUAAA
Molecule: ribosomal RNA, 271 nt
Filed under: uncultured Bacillota bacterium
Lineage: Bacteria; Bacillati; Bacillota
Description: uncultured Firmicutes bacterium partial 16S ribosomal RNA
Rfam family: Bacterial small subunit ribosomal RNA
Source: RNAcentral